RNAcentral lists this ribosomal RNA (198 nucleotides) under uncultured bacterium. RNAcentral's name for it is "partial 16S ribosomal RNA". It matches the Rfam family "Bacterial small subunit ribosomal RNA", at positions 328 to 539 of the family's 1533-position model. The record is from RNAcentral.
ACGCUCGACACCUACGGGAGGCAGCGGUGGGGAAUAUUGCACAAUGGGGGAAACCCUGAUGCAGCGACGCCGCGUGGAGGAAGAAGGUCUUCGGAUUGUAAACUCCUGUUGUUGGGGAAAAAGAGGAUGGUACCCAACAAGGAAGUGACGGCUAACUACGUGCCAUCAGCCGCGGUAAUCUGAGCGGGCUGGCAAGGC